GAUGAACGCUAGCGGCAGGCUUAACACAUGCAAGUCGAGGGGUAUAGUAGCAAUACUAGAGACCGGCGCACGGGUGCGUAACGCGUAUGCAACCUACCUUUUACAGAGGGAUAGCCCAGAGAAAUUUGGAUUAAUACCUCAUAGUGUUAUUAGAUGGCAUCAUUUGAUAACUAAAGUUCCAACGGUAAAGAUGGGCAUGCGUCCUAUUAGCUAGAUGGUAAGGUAACGGCUUACCAUGGCUACGAUAGGUAGGGGUCCUGAGAGGGAGAUCCCCACACUGGUACUGAGACACGGACCAGACUCCUACGGGAGGCAGCAGUGAGGAAUAUUGGACAAUGGGCGCAAGCCUGAUCCAGCCAUGCCGCGUGCAGGAAGAAGCAUCUAUGGUGUGUAAACUGCUUUUUGUACGGGAAGAAACACUCCUACGUGUAGGAGCUUGACGGUACCGUAAGAAUAAGGAUCGGCUAACUCCGUGCCAGCAGCCGCGGUAAG
RNAcentral lists this ribosomal RNA (492 nucleotides) under uncultured bacterium. RNAcentral describes it as "bacterial SSU rRNA". It matches the Rfam family "Bacterial small subunit ribosomal RNA", at positions 28 to 524 of the family's 1533-position model. The record is from RNAcentral.